AUGUUGUGAAACAAAUGACGUGGAGGUACGUAACGCAAUGUAUCUUAUCUUCAAGAUAAUCAUAAAUGCAAUCAUAAAGCCGGCGUGAUAAGUCGCCUUACAACGACGAGAGGCAAAGUGUAGCACUAGUUAGCAUAAUAUGAGGAAAUGCUAGUGGGUGGACAUCAACAAAUGAUUGCUUUCAUGAGGAUUUUUUCCAAGCAUUUUGCAUCUGUUUUGUGAUUACUGUGGCAUUGGUGUGUUAUACAGAACUGGAUUUAUGUUAAAACAUCGAAGAAGUAACUUACAACCUGCCUUGUAGUAACUAGACUCGUGGAAACACUACACUAAGCUUACACUUUGCCAUUCGUUGUUAGGACGGUAAUCACGCUAGUCUGGAGGAGUGUGUUGGUUAUAAUUCCUACGACAUGACUAGAAAUGGUCUCUUUCUGCCCUUUACGAUGCAUAAAAAACGUUUGUGUGUUCCCCCUCGUCAAGAAAUGAACGCCACUUGCAUAGUCGCAUAAUCAUCUGGUCAAAAAAGUCCUGACUUUAUUAACUUCCUGCUAUCAUUGCACCAUAACAUGGUUGAUUUUUUUCCCAUUCUUGUAUUUUUUGUAUGUCCUGAGGUUUUGGGAAAAGGGAUGUUGAAGGCUAAUAAAGUUGGAUUGCUUUUGUUACACCUGUGCUUCAUUUGUGUGUUUCAAUUUUAUGUUGGCCAGGCCUACUUUAGAUUUACAAGGACUACAGAAGAAAUGGGAUCCCAAAUUGGAACUGGAAGCAGAUCAUGGGUCACACCAUGCAACCAAACACUUUCUGCACCGCUGAGCGAAAAAGAGAUGCAAUACUUCACACCCUGAAGAUGUACCUGGGGGGAAUUGCCAGAAGAUUUUUUUUUUGUGUGGGGCGAAGAUGAAGCAUGGCAGGACUGAGUGUAGGCUAUAUAUACACUGCAGGCCCUGGGGGGAGCUUUUGGUUGUAUUCUUCAUGUAAGAGAUGUAUGUAAAGCUGUGAGACACUUGUUAUUAGAAUGUAAUAUUACUGAUAUGUGUGGUGUUAACUAAAUAGACUGAUACAUUGA
Long non-coding RNA from Engraulis encrasicolus (European anchovy), 1060 nucleotides. RefSeq lists it as uncharacterized. Lineage: Eukaryota; Metazoa; Chordata; Actinopteri; Clupeiformes; Engraulidae. The record is from RefSeq and is a predicted model, not a curated record. The transcript is spliced from 3 exons.